AGCAGCCGCGGUAAUUCCAGCUCCAAUAGCGUAUAUUAAAGUUGUUGCAGUUAAAAAGCUCGUAGUUGAAUUUCGGGGUUCUACCGUUGGUCGGGCUUUGUCUGUACUGGCGUGUAGAAUUUCUACCUUCUGGGGAACUAUCAUGUUAUUAAUUUAGCGUGGUAGGAAACCAGGACCUUUACCUUGAAAAAAUUAGAGUGUUCAAAGCAGGCUUAUGUCUGAAUACAUUAGCAUGGAAUAAUAAAAUAGGACGGUGGUCCUGUUUUGUUGGUUUCUGAAUCACCGUAAUGAUUAAUAGGGAUAGUUGGGGGCAUUAGUAUUCAAUUGUCAGAGGUGAAAUUCUUGGAUUUAUUGAAGACUAACUACUGCGAAAGCAUUUGCCAAGGAUGUUUUCAUUAAUCAAGAACGAAAGUUAGGGGAUCGAAGACGAUCAGAUACCGUCGUAGUCUUAACCAUAAACUAUGCCGACUAGGGAUCGGAUGAUGUUAUUUUUAAUGACUCAUUCGGCGCCUUACG
This 516-nucleotide ribosomal RNA is filed under the name uncultured Scutellospora. Its description in RNAcentral is "SSU rRNA". It matches the Rfam family "Eukaryotic small subunit ribosomal RNA", at positions 569 to 1092 of the family's 1831-position model. The record is from RNAcentral. Lineage: Eukaryota; Fungi; Glomeromycota; Glomeromycetes; Diversisporales; Gigasporaceae.